Molecule: ribosomal RNA, 533 nt
Filed under: uncultured bacterium
Lineage: Bacteria
Description: bacterial SSU rRNA
Rfam family: Bacterial small subunit ribosomal RNA
Source: RNAcentral
CCUUGACAUACUAAGAACUUUCCAGAGAUGGAUUGGGUGCCUUCGGGAACUUAGAUACAGGUGCUGCAUGGCUGUCGUCAGCUCGUGUCGUGAGAUGUUGGGUUAAGUCCCGCAACGAGCGCAACCCUUUUCCUUAUUUGCCAGCGGGUCAUGCCGGGAACUUUAAGGAUACUGCCAGUGACAAACGUGGAGGAAGGCGGGGACGACGUCAAGUCAUCAUGGCCCUUACGGCCAGGGCUACACACGUGCUACAAUGGUCGGUACAAAGGGUUGCUACCUCGCGAGAGGAUGCUAAUCUCAAAAAGCCGAUCGUAGUCCGGAUCGCAGUCUGCAACUCGACUGCGUGAAGUCGGAAUCGCUAGUAAUCGCGGAUCAGAAUGCCGCGGUGAAUACGUUCCCGGGCCUUGUACACACCGCCCGUCACACCAUGGGAGUUUGUUGCACCAGAAGUAGGUAGUCUAACCGCAAGGAGGACGCUUACCACGGUGUGGCCGAUGACUGGGGUGAAGUCGUAACAAGGUAAGCGUAGAUGA